GAACGCGUUCGGGUAUUCGGAGCGUAAAAGUCCGGCUCGAGCGUCUAGUAGUCGCGUUCGUCAGGCGCAUUUCUCGAGGGUAAGCGUCGCGACCGAUGCGAAAGGCCGACGAGACCGUCAGGUUGAGGUCGAAAACCCCUCGCGGGGUAUUCGUUACCAACCAGUCGGUAAUAAUCGUGGGACCGUAGUAGGCAUCGAGCGUCUUCGGAAAGUAAAAGUCGGCGUAAAAUGCUCGUCAGAACGGCGGAGAGUCAGCCGAUUAAUCGACGUCUGCUCGCAGGCGUUCGGUUAACGCGAGGUUGUCUACGAAGUCGUCGGCGAAGUACCGACUUUAAGGCGUCCGCGACGUCCGAGUCGGUCACCCGUCCGACCCGUCUUGAAACACGGACCAAGGAGUCUAACGUACGCGCGAGCUAAUGGGUGGAAAACCCAUAAGCGCAAUAAAAGUAAAAACCGUCUCUAGACGGUCGAGGUACGAUCCCGUCGUCAACGCACGAUCGGGCGCAGUACCGUCCCGUCCCGACCGCUCGUCGGUAGGGCGGAGACAGAGUGCAUACGUUGGGACCCGAAAGAUGGUGAACUAUGCCCGAG
Molecule: ribosomal RNA, 591 nt
Filed under: Xiphinema brevisicum
Lineage: Eukaryota; Metazoa; Nematoda; Enoplea; Dorylaimida; Longidoridae
Description: eukaryotic LSU rRNA
Rfam family: Eukaryotic large subunit ribosomal RNA
Source: RNAcentral